UAGUGGCGAACGGGUGAGUAACACGUGGGCAAUCUGCCCUUCACUCUGGGACAAGCCCUGGAAACGGGGUCUAAUACCGGAUAAUACUUUUCCCUGCAUGGGGGAGGGUUGAAAGCUCCGGCGGUGAAGGAUGAGCCCGCGGCCUAUCAGCUUGUUGGUGGGGUGAUGGCCUACCAAGGCGACGACGGGUAGCCGGCCUGAGAGGGCGACCGGCCACACUGGGACUGAGACACGGCCCAGACUCCUACGGGAGGCAGCAGUGGGGAAUAUUGCACAAUGGGCGGAAGCCUGAUGCAGCGACGCCGCGUGAGGGAUGACGGCCUUCGGGUUGUAAACCUCUUUCAGCAGGGAAGAAGCGUGAGUGACGGUACCUGCAGAAGAAGCGCCGGCUAACUACGUGCCAGCAGCCGCGGUAAUACGUAGGGCGCAAGCGUUGUCCGGAAUUAUUGGGCGUAAAGAGCUCGUAGGCGGCUUGUCGCGUCGGAUGUGAAAGCCCGGGGCUCAACCCCGGGUCUGCAUUCGAUACGGGCAGGCUGGAGUGUGGUAGGGGAGAUCGGAAUUCCU
RNAcentral lists this ribosomal RNA (564 nucleotides) under Streptomyces sp. 343H08. RNAcentral describes it as "bacterial SSU rRNA". It matches the Rfam family "Bacterial small subunit ribosomal RNA", at positions 93 to 671 of the family's 1533-position model. Lineage: Bacteria; Bacillati; Actinomycetota; Actinomycetes; Kitasatosporales; Streptomycetaceae. The record is from RNAcentral.